Molecule: transfer RNA, 73 nt
Filed under: Anguilla anguilla (European eel)
Lineage: Eukaryota; Metazoa; Chordata; Actinopteri; Anguilliformes; Anguillidae
Description: tRNA-OTHER
Source: RNAcentral
GCACAGGAAAUACAGUGGGUAGCACUGUCGCCUCACGGCAAGGAGGUCCUGGGUUCGAAUCCCGGCCUGCGCC